RNAcentral lists this ribosomal RNA (270 nucleotides) under uncultured Anoxybacillus sp. Its description in RNAcentral is "partial 16S ribosomal RNA". It matches the Rfam family "Bacterial small subunit ribosomal RNA", at positions 1107 to 1382 of the family's 1533-position model. Lineage: Bacteria; Bacillati; Bacillota; Bacilli; Caryophanales; Anoxybacillaceae. The record is from RNAcentral.
GACCUUAGUUGCCAGCAUUCAGUUGGGCACUCUAAGGUGACUGCGGCUAAAGUCGGAGGAAGGUGGGAUGACGUCAAAUCAUCAUGCCCUUAUGACCUGGGCUACACACGUGCUACAAUGGGCGGUACGAAGGGUCGCGAACCCGCGAGGGGGAGCCAAUCCCAAAAAGCCGCUCUCAGUUCGGAUUGCAGGCUGCAACUCGCCUGCAUGAAGCCGGAAUCGCUAGUAAUCGCGGAUCAGCAUGCCGCGGUGAAUACGUUCCCGGGCCUU